RNAcentral lists this ribosomal RNA (497 nucleotides) under uncultured bacterium. RNAcentral's name for it is "partial 16S ribosomal RNA". It matches the Rfam family "Bacterial small subunit ribosomal RNA", at positions 28 to 507 of the family's 1533-position model. The record is from RNAcentral.
GAUGAACGCUGGCGGCGUGCCUAAUACAUGCAAGUCGAGCGAACAGACGAGGAGCUUGCUCCUCUGACGUUAGCGGCGGACGGGUGAGUAACACGUGGAUAACCUACCUAUAAGACUGGGAUAACUUCGGGAAACCGGAGCUAAUACCGGAUAAUAUAUUGAACCGCAUGGUUCAAUAGUGAAAGACGGUUUUGCUGUCUCUUAUAGAUGGAUCCGCGCCGCAUUAGCUAGUUGGUAAGGUAACGGCUUACCAAGGCAACGAUGCGUAGCCGACCUGAGAGGGUGAUCGGCCACACUGGAACUGAGACACGGUUCAGACUCCUACGGGAGGCAGCAGUAGGGAAUCUUCCGCAAUGGGCGAAAGCUUGACGGAGCAACGCCGCGUGAGUGAUGAAGGUCUUCGGAUCGUAAAACUCUGUUAUUAGGGAAGAACAAAUGUGUAAGUAACUAUGCACGUCUUGACGGUACCUAAUCAGAAAGCCACGGCUAACUACGUG